Molecule: long non-coding RNA, 894 nt
Organism: Aedes albopictus (Asian tiger mosquito)
Lineage: Eukaryota; Metazoa; Arthropoda; Insecta; Diptera; Culicidae
Exons: 3
Source: RefSeq, a predicted model, not a curated record
AAUAGCAUGCAAACAACACAAAAACAUAGGCUCGCUUCUUCCACUGGUCAAAGACAAAACUCCGUUGGAAGAACGCAGCAAUGUUGUCUACCAAAUCAAUUGCGAAGACUGUGAUGCAUGCUAUGUCGGAAUGACAACACAAAAAUUGAAGGCGAGAAUUUCAAAACACAAGUCGAACAUGAAAAAACUACAGACACUCCAACAAGCAGGCCACACAACCAGAGAUGCAGCAAUCGUGGACAUAAUGGAGACAACCGCUCUGGUGAAUCAUGCAGCCAGGGAGAAACACACGUUCAAGCUAGACGAGACGAAAAUACUGGACACAACAAACAAGCCGAGAAAUCUACCGAUACUCGAGAGCUGCCACAUCAACAAUACACCAAACACGAUAAACAAACGAACAGACACGGACAACCUUCACGUCGCGUAUGCGGGGGUUCUGCACUGGCUCCGAAAUAAACAGCAGAGAGCGAGAGGCAGAAACGAAUGAUCAAAACAAACGAACGAAACAAAUUGUAAACACACACCACACUAUAGUUUUAGUCACUCACACCAACAAACACAGUAGUGCACACAAAUACCACAGAAGAAAGCGAAAAGCAAUGGUGAUCGUUCUCGGGUUAGGUACUAAAUUCCGGAGUGCUAACUUUGGACCGAGUUUUCUUUCCGAUAGGGCAUCCGAUUUGGCUGCGAUUGUGCGGGAAAACUCGAUCCAUGCGACAGUUACAGGUUCUGCCGAACCACAGUGGACGAGAACACUGUAACUAUUGAGUCCCUGAAGAAGGUCCCAAACGGACCGAAACGUCGGACAAAAUAACAUAACAGUGUUUUGAUUUUGUCAAGACUGAGAAGCCACAAAACAUUAGUUUCCAAAUACAGUCGAACACACCAACG